UCGCGUCAAGCGCCGUAGGCAGGAGCGGGGGACCCAAGGUAAGCGCCGGUUCCCAGCAGUUGGGGCUGCUGGAUCCGGCUUGGGGUGAAGCCACGCCUUCCGUGCGGAAGGGGUGGCCGGGCAACUCAACCGGCCCGAACCCGACAGCUCACCUCGCAGGCGUCGGUGAGGGGAUCC
Molecule: small RNA, 177 nt
Filed under: Streptomyces mangrovisoli
Lineage: Bacteria; Bacillati; Actinomycetota; Actinomycetes; Kitasatosporales; Streptomycetaceae
Description: c-di-AMP sequence
Rfam family: c-di-AMP riboswitch aptamer (ydaO/yuaA leader)
About the family: This family represents a conserved RNA structure found upstream of the ydaO and yuaA genes in Bacillus subtilis and related genes in other bacteria. The ydaO/yuaA element is thought to act as a genetic "off" switch for the ydaO and yuaA genes in its native state. It is believed that the element may be triggered during osmotic shock leading to activation of ydaO, a predicted amino acid transporter gene, and members of the yuaA-yubG operon which code for KtrA and KtrB K+ transporters.
Source: Rfam by way of RNAcentral